AGCAGCCGCGGUAAUUCCAGCUCCAAUAGCGUAUAUUAAAGUUGUUGCAGUUAAAAAGCUCGUAGUUGAAUUUCGGGAUUGGCGCAUCGGUCGUGCUUCACGGGGUAUGAACUGGUGCAGUCAAUUUCUCACCUUCUGGAGAACCGCGAUGUCCUUAAUUGGAUGCCGCGGGGAACCAGGACCUUUACUUUGAAAAAAAUUAGAGUGUUUAAAGCAGGCAUUUUUGCUUGAAUACAUUAGCAUGGAAUAAUAAAAUAGGACGGCAUGGUUCUAUUUUGUUGGUUUCUAGGACCACCGUAAUGAUUAAUAGGGAUAGUUGGGGGCAUUAGUAUUCAAUUGUCAGAGGUGAAAUUCUUGGAUUUAUUGAAGACUAACUACUGCGAAAGCAUUUGCCAAGGAUGUUUUCAUUAAUCAAGAACGAAAGUUAGGGGAUCGAAGACGAUCAGAUACCGUCGUAGUCUUAACCAUAAACUAUGCCGACUAGGAAUCAGACGAUGUUAAUUUUUUCAAUGACUCGUUU
This 520-nucleotide ribosomal RNA is filed under the name uncultured Entrophospora. Its description in RNAcentral is "SSU rRNA". It matches the Rfam family "Eukaryotic small subunit ribosomal RNA", at positions 569 to 1081 of the family's 1831-position model. Lineage: Eukaryota; Fungi; Glomeromycota; Glomeromycetes; Entrophosporales; Entrophosporaceae. The record is from RNAcentral.